Calypte anna (Anna's hummingbird) is the source of this 345-nucleotide long non-coding RNA. RefSeq lists it as uncharacterized. Lineage: Eukaryota; Metazoa; Chordata; Aves; Apodiformes; Trochilidae. The transcript has 2 exons. The record is from RefSeq and is a predicted model, not a curated record.
UCCCUGCCUCAGCUGUUCCGCUCUGGUUCUUGUCAGCUCCGCCCUAAAAGGUGGAGUUUCUCAGGAGACUUCCACAAAGAAGGAAGUGCGGCCCUUUUUAGGGGGAUUUCCUGGCUUUUUAUUGUCCAGGGAAAUGCACCCCGAGCAGCGAGGAGGCAACGGAGUGUGAUUCGUCCCCUGGCUGCUGUGUACAGGCUUUGUGAAAAAUGAAGAGUCAGGAGGCUUGGGCAGUCAAGGACCCAGAAGCUUCAGUGCCUCAACUCCUGGGGUGUCUGUGUUGAGUGAUGUGCUGAGCUCUGAGGACAGAGGCCUUUUUCCCCCCAAAAAUAAAAAGGUAAAGCUGGA